AGGACGGAGAGCCGCCUCUUGUUUCCCCCGCCUGCCUGGCCAACCAGUGAUGAGCACCAAAUGUGUGGAAAUAAAAGAAAAUCUGGGUUUUUGACCUCGGCCUCAGACCCUGCAGACUACAAAAACUGCAAAAAAAUUACAGACUACAGGAGGCUUUAGUGCACCACUCGGGUGACCCUGAGGACACAGAUGAACCUCCGGGUGGCCUCAAGGACUCUCUAAAAGGAUGCCAAUGACCAGCUGUCUGCAAGGAAUAUAAAUCCUUCCAUUCCCCACCCUCCAGUCAGAGCUGAAGAAGCUUCUCAUCUGAGAAGCGAAACGUCUUCAAACGAAAAACCAGACAGUCCAGUUGCCUCUUGGAAAAAAGCACCUUUGGGACAACCAUGACUGAGAAUCUCUACAGAUUUUUAACUAUGCAAUUUGGGAUGAACCCCCUAGGAAUGGUGUGGGAGUUAGGAAUGGAUUUCCAGAGGAAAAAAUUGCAGACUACAGGAACCAGAAGCACCACUCAGGUGAUCCUAAAGACACAGGUAAACCUCCAGGUGGCCUCAAGGACCCUCUAAAAGGAUGCAAAUGACCAGCUGUCUGCAAGGAGUAUAAAUCCUUCCAUUCCCCACCAUCCUGUCAGAGCUGAGGAAGCUUCUCAGAUGAGAAGCGAAACGUCUUCAAAAGAAAAAGCAAGAAAGUCCAGUUGCCUCCUGAAAAAAGCACCUUUGGGAUCUAACAGGUGACAAAUCUUGAGUUCCAGAGAAACUAAGGGAGGAAUGCUGGCUGUUGGGGAGACCUGGAGCUCUGCGAAGGAGAUGCCCUCACCUGUCUGCAGACUGUGUGAGGUGGGCGGAUAUCAGAGCUGCGAGGUUGUCGUGUCCGGCCUCCACCGCAAUGGCCACAGCAUCGUUGCCGUCCUGUAAGAGAGUGUUAAGCAAGUUUGAGUGGCGGCUGGACCACAAAGGGCAGUUCUGUUUCCAAAAUUAAAAAAUAAAUUAGUCUAGCAGCUA
Non-coding RNA from Pantherophis guttatus, 998 nucleotides. The record is from RefSeq and is a predicted model, not a curated record. Lineage: Eukaryota; Metazoa; Chordata; Lepidosauria; Squamata; Colubridae.